RNAcentral lists this ribosomal RNA (440 nucleotides) under uncultured bacterium. RNAcentral's name for it is "partial 16S ribosomal RNA". It matches the Rfam family "Bacterial small subunit ribosomal RNA", at positions 338 to 795 of the family's 1533-position model. The record is from RNAcentral.
CCUACGGGAGGCAACAGUGGGGGAUAUUGCACAAUGGGGGAAACCCUGAUGCAGCGACGCCGCGUGGGUGAAGAAGCGCCUCGGCGCGUAAAGCCCUGUCAGCAGGGAAGAAAAUGACGGUACCUGAAGAAGACGUCCCGGCUAACUACGUGCCAGCAGCCGCGGUAAUACGUAGGGGGCAAGCGUUAGCCGGAUGUAAUGGGUGUAAAGGGGGCGCAGACGGCGAUGCAAGCCAGGAGUGAAAGCCCGGGGCCCAACCCCGGGACUGCUCUUGGAACUGCGUGGCUAGAGUGCAGGAGGGGCAGGCGGAAUUCCUGGUGUAGCGGUGAAAUGCGUAGAUAUCAGGAGGAACACCGGUGGCGAAGGCGGCCUGCUGGACUGCAACUGACGUUGAGGCCCGAAAGCGUGGGGAGCAAACAGGAUUAGAUACCCCAGUAGUC